UGCAAAGCUCAGGGAGAUGUGCUCAUUU
RNAcentral lists this non-coding RNA (28 nucleotides) under Rattus norvegicus (Norway rat). Lineage: Eukaryota; Metazoa; Chordata; Mammalia; Rodentia; Muridae. The record is from RNAcentral.